AACUGUUAUGAUACACGGUAGUGGCAUUUGGCCCAUUUCAAGGGGUUAAGGGGCACAGGAGAUUGUCAUACAGUUUUCUGAAGUUAACAACCGUUAUGACCUGUCCACCAUUAUCUACCCAACCCAAGGCCUAGGAGAGUUCAGUGGGAGUUUACGAAGGCUUUGAAACACGUUUGUAUGGUGAGAGGAAAACUAGCAGUGAACAACAGCCAAAGGAUUGUAAAAUGGAAGGAAGACUUGGGAAGGAGAAAAUCUAACAGGGAAGGAGGGAGAAGGGAAGAUGGCUUCGGGGCCACAAAGGCAUGAGCGAAAACCGCACCAGACACUGUACAGAAUCCUGCUCCUGGGAAGCGCAAACACAAGCCAAGGACUGUAAAUGACCCAACUUUCUGCUCUUCAGAAAAAACAAGAAUAUGGACGUCUUUUUAAAUUCAACAAAUCAUUUUUGGUUAAUAUUUAAAGUUCAGUUAACUUCACAGGAAUGUUCAAAGAUAGUUGACAAUUAGCCUCUGAGAUUAACAUGUCAACAGUGUUUGCCUGGAUUUAGCUUUAGUGUCGAGAGAGAUACUGACGAGUUCACGGUUUUCUAUUUGGUAAGCUUUAUUUUUUCCGAUGUGGGGAAAAAAAAGAAAAAUAGGUGACACCGUGCUAUUCCCACACAAACUGGCACUGCACGCGUGGCAUCGGUUGUCGGGUCUCCCACACCCGUACUGCACAUGUCCAUACUGCAUGUGCCCAAGCUGUUUCCCUAGUGGCCUCACCAGGGAUCUCCAGCCUCCGUUACCUGGCUAUCUGUGA
RNAcentral lists this long non-coding RNA (798 nucleotides) under Rattus norvegicus (Norway rat). RNAcentral's name for it is "long non-coding RNA NONRATT011100". Lineage: Eukaryota; Metazoa; Chordata; Mammalia; Rodentia; Muridae. The record is from RNAcentral.